Molecule: small RNA, 701 nt
Filed under: Pan troglodytes (chimpanzee)
Lineage: Eukaryota; Metazoa; Chordata; Mammalia; Primates; Hominidae
Description: processed transcript
Source: RNAcentral
AAGAAGGCCCCACUCAUGGUUCACACCUGCUGCUAUGUUACCUGGAGCCUCAGUCACCUUUUCUGUAAAAUGGGGCUGAGAACAGGAGAUUGAUCGGAUGGCGUUAGAUUUGGCAAAUGCAGGCAUUUUAAAAAUGAGAAUUGGAGGAAUUGCUAUGAUUUACCCAAAGUUUGGAUCGCCAUAUGCAAACCCACCACGGACACCAUAAACCAUUCCGAUGCAAACUCUGCUCCUUCAAGUCCUCCUAUAACAGCCGGCUGAAAACACAUAUACUCAAAGCUCAUGCUGGUGAGCAUGCCUACAAGUGUUCUUGGUGCUCAUUCUCCACCAUGACAAUCAGCCAGCUGAAGGAACACUCCCUCAAGGUCCACGGAAAAGCCCUGACCCUCCCCAGGCCACGGAUCGUCAGUCUCCUCUCCUCACACUCCCACCACUCCUCCCAAAAAGCUACCCCGGCUGAAGAAGUGGAAGACUCCAAUGACUCAUCAUAUUCAGAGCCCCCAGAUGUUCAGCAGCAGUUGAACCACUAUCAGUCAGCUGCCCUGGCAAGGAACAACAGCCGUGUUAGCCCUGUGCCUCUUUCUGGGGCUGCUGCUGGCACUGAGCAGAAAACUGAAGCCGUGCUUCACUGCGAAUUCUGUGAAUUCUCCUCCGGCUACAUCCAGAGCAUCAGGCGUCAUUACCGGGACAAGCAUGGUGGG